GCGGCCGUGACCCUGCUGGAGUGCGGGGGGGACCUCCAGCCCCCCGGGGGGUCCCUGCGCCUCCUCUGCCGAGGGGCCGGGUUCAGUUUUGGGGAUUUUGGGAUGGGCUGGAUGCGCCAGAGAGCCGGGCAGGGUUUGGAGUUUGUGGCGAGUGUCACCGGUGAUGGCGCCACUCCCAGAUACGCGCCGUCGGUCAAGGGCCGGUUCAGGAUCUCCAGGGACAACGGGCAGAGCUCGGUGACGCUGACCAUGAACAACCUCAAGGACGAGGAUUCCGCCGUUUAUUUCUGUGUCAAACUUUGCAAUGGUUACGCUGGCAAUGCUAUUGACGCUGGUUUUGGCGUCACUUCUGUCCGGCCCUGCCCCUCCGUCCCAGUGCGGAACGGGGAUCGCUCCGGGGCCCUUUGCACACAAAGCUUUUUGUGCAGCCGGCGCUCUGCCGCAGCGCCCCGAGGCUGA
Non-coding RNA from Melospiza melodia melodia, 459 nucleotides. The record is from the annotation of a RefSeq genome assembly. NCBI's taxonomy places the organism in Eukaryota, Metazoa, Chordata, Aves, Passeriformes, Passerellidae.